UUAGAGUUUAUUUUAUGUAUUUUGUAUUACAUUGUGUAUUUUGUACUUAAGAAACUUGUUGAUUCUGAUAAAUUGUUUAUGUAUUAUGUAUUUUGUGAUCGAACAUAUUACAACUUGCUGAUUUUGUAUUAUGUAUUUUGAUAAAUUGUCUACUUAAGCAACUUGUAUUUUGAUAAAUUGUAUUAUGUAUUGCACUGUUCAUAUUGUACUUACAUGACAUUUUUAAUUUACUCUUUUUUACUUUAUGACAACAGAUGACUAACAAAGGUGGCGGUGAUAAAGGAAAGGCCCAUCCUACAAGGGGUAAACAAAAGAUGUUGCGACCGAGUAAACUUAAUGAGCAGCGGGAUGUCAUACGUCGCAACUUGUCUACCACUAGGCCACUUCAAUGUUCGUCUCCAGCCCCGUCUUAGCCUCCAACAUCAACUAUGGUCUUCAAGCAUUUUGGGAAGGUACAUCAUUCAAGAACAUCUCCAACCAAAAUAAGAUCAAUCGAGCUUCAACAAAAGGCGGGACUGUCCACACCUCAGGCCGCAAGGCUCAUAUUGAUGUUGCGAUUGAGCUCAGCAAUAACCUUCAAAGAGAUUUACUUCCAGAUGAGUUAUUUUUGACAACCCACAAGAG
Non-coding RNA from Cicer arietinum (chickpea), 624 nucleotides. Lineage: Eukaryota; Viridiplantae; Streptophyta; Magnoliopsida; Fabales; Fabaceae. The record is from RefSeq and is a predicted model, not a curated record.